This 101-nucleotide ribosomal RNA is filed under the name Pogona vitticeps (central bearded dragon). Lineage: Eukaryota; Metazoa; Chordata; Lepidosauria; Squamata; Agamidae. The record is from RNAcentral.
CAAACCAACUUGGACACAGGCAAUCUCAGCGGGUUUAAGAAGCUAAGCAGGAUCAGGCCUGGUCCAGACUUGGAUGGGAUUCCACCAGAGAACAGCAGGUC